Molecule: long non-coding RNA, 2116 nt
Filed under: Homo sapiens (human)
Lineage: Eukaryota; Metazoa; Chordata; Mammalia; Primates; Hominidae
Description: HSALNT0075195
Source: RNAcentral
CCCAGGUGGUCUCUGGGCGGGACAAAGCAGUGGCUAUCCUGCUGCUGGCUGCAUCACUGCUUGUUCAGCGGGCUACUCCGCGGGGCUCGCGUCCAGUUACUAUGUGCCCAGAUGUAAAGGCAGCAGUCGCUUGAAAGUCACCCAUCUGCAGUGGCAGUGUGUCUUUCCUGAUUCCAGGUGCUAAGAACGCUCAAGCCAUGGAGAGAGAUGCAUUUGGAGUUGUUUACAUUCAGACAAAGCUCAUCUGGUUGUUUGCAGCUAGUCACAAGGAAUAAGAAUAAAUGCUAUCGGUAUUCUGGAGCCAGCUUUCAAACAGAAUCACAAAGCUUUGUUAGCUGAAUACUGCUGAGAAGCAUGAAAAUAGCCUGCUGAAAGAAUUCACUUUGAAAAUGCCACAAAACAGACAAUGGAAAAAUGAGAUGAACAAGUGCGAAUCCAUCAUUCUUCUCAGGUUCUGGAAAAAUGCUGGUUUUCAGCUCCUGGAAAAUUCUCACAAGACAUCUGUUUUGUUUUAUAUCUUCAUUUGUUUCCAUUCAUCUUUCCUACUGUAGACACUGUCUAUGAUUUUUUUGUGUGGGGGUUUUGGCAAAGUGCAUACGAUUACUUUGAAUUUAGAGAAUUAAAUUGUAUUUAUCCACUGAAAGCUGUUUUUAAGAUCUAGCUGUGUUGUCACUUGGAUAUCUAGUUUAUUACUUCUACUUGCAAAGUAGUACAAUGAGAUACCAAACCACCAUAUUUUUUCCAUCUAUUUUCUCAAUUAUGGACACUUUUCAACUUAUUACUACAGUAGGGAAGUUAAAGGCUAUUUGAAUUAUUGGAGAAUAGAGAUACCUAGGAUCAGAAUUACCAAGUCAUAGACCGAAACUUUGGCUAAGACCUAAACUUAAUAUGGGUAAAUAUUGUUACAUUGCUCCCUAGAAUAUUGAUAUGGUUUGGAUUUGUGUCCCCACGCAAAUCUCAUGUUGAAUUGUAAUCCUCAAUGUUGGAGGUGGGGAAUGGUAAGGGGUGAUUAGAUCCUGGGGCAGAUUUCCCCCUUUGCUGCUGUUCUCCUGAUAAGAGUUCUGACAAAAUCUGGUUGUUUUAAAGUGUUUGGCACCUCCCUGUUCUCUCUCCUCCUGCUCCAGCCAUGGGCAUUGAGGCUCCUUUGUCUUCCUCCCUGAUUGUAAGUUCCCUGAGGCCUUCCCAGAAGCUGAUGCCAGCAUGCUUCCUGUACAGCCUGAAGAAUCAUGAACCUAGUAAACCUCUUUUCUUUAUAAAUUACCCAGUCUCAGGUAUUUCUUUAAAGCAGCGUGAAAACGAACUAAUAUAAAUAUCUUAAGCAGUGUUUAGCCCUUCCAGAAUUCUCUAAGUGGUGAAACCAGGGGACACUCUUAAAGGAAAAGACAAAUAUAAGCACAAAAUAAAAUAUAAAAAUAAAUACAUGUUUAAAGAAAAAAAGAAAUCACAACAAAUUUCUAUUUAAGCAUAGUUGACGAACAUAAGAAUAUCAUGCCAUCCACGAAAAAAAUAUUAUUUAACUACCUAACAUAUUCAUAAAACACUUUUUUCCUAGUUUUAAAAAAUGUAUUACUUUUAAAUUUCUUGUUUAUAUGGCAAUAAUUUUGAAAUAUCAUCUGUAGGUAAUGGAAAGAUCAUUAAACCAUCCUUUACUAUAGUUGAGUGAAAUUAGUUAUUUUUAUGAUUAUUGAUAGUUGAGGUGUAUAAAGCACAGGUGUCUCGAUUUUUUUAAUACUGGUACACAUUGUUUCUUGAAAUUUUCACAAAUUAUAUUUCACUUAACUCUUAUCAAAAGCUUAUGAAUGAUAUGUUUGUGAUAGUAAACACUGCAUUAUGGAUUACAUUUUGCAAGAGAACACUCUCUUUUGAUGACGUGUCAAUGAAAACAAAAUUCUUCCUUUAUUAUUUUACAUGUUUAAUGAUUGAGAUAAUAUUACACAGAACUGCUUCUUGCUUGCACUUUUAAAUACGUGUUUCUUCUUCAUAUCCUCAUACUUUUAGUGCUUGAUGUUUUAGGACGUAUUUACAUUGUGAUAAGACCUUUGGGCUGACAUCAUCAUGUUACGAUACUAGGUAGGGAGUAGGGUAUUCCUGGAGCCAUUUCUACAUUGGAAUGAGU